AAGAUUUUAAGUUAAAUAAACUAAGAGUUUUCAAAGCUUUAAAUAAAGGUAAAGUUCCUUUAAAUCUUG
This 69-nucleotide transfer RNA is filed under the name Solemya elarraichensis. RNAcentral describes it as "tRNA-Trp". It matches the Rfam family "tRNA". Rfam says of the family: Transfer RNA (tRNA) molecules are approximately 80 nucleotides in length. Their secondary structure includes four short double-helical elements and three loops (D, anti-codon, and T loops). Further hydrogen bonds mediate the characteristic L-shaped molecular structure. tRNAs have two regions of fundamental functional importance: the anti-codon, which is responsible for specific mRNA codon recognition, and the 3' end, to which the tRNAs corresponding amino acid is attached (by aminoacyl-tRNA synthetases). tRNAs cope with the degeneracy of the genetic code in two manners: having more than one tRNA (with a specific anti-codon) for a particular amino acid; and 'wobble' base-pairing, i.e. permitting non-standard base-pairing at the 3rd anti-codon position. The record is from RNAcentral. Lineage: Eukaryota; Metazoa; Mollusca; Bivalvia; Solemyida; Solemyidae.